This is a long non-coding RNA of Ostrea edulis (European flat oyster), 1511 nucleotides long. RefSeq lists it as uncharacterized. Lineage: Eukaryota; Metazoa; Mollusca; Bivalvia; Ostreida; Ostreidae. The record is from RefSeq and is a predicted model, not a curated record. The transcript has 2 exons.
GGUCGUGAUGGUCGUGGAGCAACUUUGAACAUGCUCAAAACAAACGUAGUGCGGUCGUGGUCAAAUUUGAUCGUAGUGGAAGCGUAGUAAGGACGUACUAAGGUCGUAUCUAGAUCGGCAUGGUCGUAGUAGCAUCGUAAUGGGAUCGUGAUGCAGAAGAAAACUACUGCACUGCGAUUCCACUACGCUCUCUAUACGACCAUCCCGUUUUCACUACGUUCUCAUUACGAUCAUCCCGUUUGCACUACGUUUUCUUCACGCUUCUGCUACGAUCACGGCACGUCUAUACUAUGUUGUUGAAGACUGUAGUACGUUUCUACCAAGCUCAUCCCGUCCUUAAUACGUCCUCACUACAAUUUCACUACGAGCAAGCCACGACCGAAUCACGUUCUAUUCUCCCACACACACUGGUAUAAAACUGAACAAAGGUUGCAUAUGCCCAUUGCUUCUUUGGAAUCAUGGAAAGGCCAGACCAAGAAAUAUUGAUGGAAAUGUUGAUGCAUAUUCAGUAUAUGGCACUGAGAAUCAUAAGGCAUCGCAGAUCUUGCUGGAUGACAAGAAGGUUCUGAGCUGUAUUUAUACUGAAUCUGGAUCUGAUUCAGCUGCUGCAAAGCGUGGCGACAGCGGCGCGGAAACGUGGUAGAACCGUAGUAAGAUCGUGGUAGAAUCGUUGUAAGAUCGUGGUACAAUCGUGGCAGACGCGUAGGAAACUCGUGUUACAGUCGUGGGAGUCGUGGUGAGAGCGUAGUUAGAACGUGAUGGACGUAGUGGGAGCGUAGUAAGAACUUGAUAAACGUAGUGAGAACGUGGUGAAAUCGUAACAAGGCCGUAGUUUAAUCGUAGUGGAGUCGUGAUAAGAGCGUAGUGAGGACGCAAUAACAUCGUGAAGACAGACAAAAUUACAAAUUCAUGCCGUUCGCACUACGAUCUCACCACGAUCUUAAAAAAAAAAUAUGAUAGAACGUAGUGAGGUCGUGAUGUAGUGUGACAGGGCCAUUAGUAGCGCUUUAGGAGCAUAACAAAACUUCCUUUUUUAGGGAAGUCGUUGUGACCGAGUGGACUUACGCACUGGUUUGACAAUCUUCGACCCCGGGCUGAGGCGAAAAUUUUCAGUACCUAGUUGUGAUUAUUUAGUGCUUUGUAUAUAUAUAUAUAUUGUCACAAUUAAUGUAUAUAUUUCCCGAUUAUAGCUCCAUAGAUGUUAGGAUCUUUAUCAUGUUAAAUAAUUAAAUAUCUCAAUGUGUUUCCAUAGUAUGCGAAUCGUUCACCUGGUAUGCUUGAACAUUUAAAUCCCGUGCAGUUAGUUUGGGUGUAGCAAUUGCCGGGUGCGGACGUGUUUAUUCGCAUUGAUAUUCAUGUAUUUUAUCUAGUAAUAGUCAUCAAGUUUUGAUACCUUGUGACCAGAGUCCACUACUUCUGAGAUCCCUUCUUCAUUUGACUCCUAUUUGAAAAACGGUAAAGGAUGAACAUUUGUGUAUAACUUGAGUAUUAAAACAGUAUAAACCUUAAAA